UGAAGGGAUGAUGGGUGAGCUACCAAGGCUAACUUUUUCCUGAGGACAUUGAGUUAGGGAAGUGGCCUCUCCUUGAGGGAAGGAGCCAGAUGACUUCUCAGAGAACAACAACCAUAUUCAAAAUAUUCUCAAGUUUCUUUUGUUUCUUCUUGUCUGCAUCUGAUAUCCAGGACAUUAUUCCACAGGAAAAGGUUAACAGGAGAUCAAGAUCGGCCAGGAGAACCCCACUAUGAAGCCGGUCAGGUGGGGAGACAGCACUUCCAUUCUCUUUAAAUGACAGAAAUGUCUAAUUUCUGAGACUCUCUGUCUUGUGGAGCACUGUCGUCUUCAUGGACACAGGCAGGAUGGCAAGUAAGUGAAAGGCAAGGACAGUAUGUACUCGAAAGUCUUCAUCUACAUAAAAGCAAGAGGAGAAAGGGC
Molecule: long non-coding RNA, 420 nt
Filed under: Pan troglodytes (chimpanzee)
Lineage: Eukaryota; Metazoa; Chordata; Mammalia; Primates; Hominidae
Description: long non-coding RNA NONPTRT016632
Source: RNAcentral